GCAGACGUGAUGUAUGUAUACAAAAAGGAAGACAUCAACCUCCCUAGUGCUUUUCUAGAGGAAGUCUUAAAAGUCUCAGGUCUCCUGCCAACCACUGUUGCCCCAACAACCACCACCACCACUGUGGCUUCUACUACGGCAAUUAAAACUGCAGGUCCUACAACAACAACCACAACUGCUGCUCCUACAAUGACUACAACUGCAGCAUCUACAAGUACAACCACAAUUGUACUUCCUACAACGACAACUGCAACUUUUACCUCAACUUCUAUGGCUUCAGUGACAUCAACAACUAGAUUUGGCACAGUGAUGUUUUUUGUUAGACUGAUGUUCCAGCUCAACACACCAGUCCCCACUAAGGAUGAUGUCCUUGGUGCCG
Coregonus clupeaformis (lake whitefish) is the source of this 379-nucleotide long non-coding RNA. RefSeq lists it as uncharacterized. NCBI's taxonomy places the organism in Eukaryota, Metazoa, Chordata, Actinopteri, Salmoniformes, Salmonidae. The record is from RefSeq and is a predicted model, not a curated record. The transcript has 3 exons.